RNAcentral lists this ribosomal RNA (326 nucleotides) under uncultured eukaryote. Its description in RNAcentral is "partial 18S ribosomal RNA". It matches the Rfam family "Eukaryotic small subunit ribosomal RNA", at positions 1470 to 1796 of the family's 1831-position model. The record is from RNAcentral.
CCCUUAGAUGUCCUGGGCCGCACGCGCGCUGCACUGAACGGAUCAGCGCGUUUUCCCUUCCCGAGAGGGACGGGUAACCUGCUGAACCCCGUUCGUGGUAGGGAUCGGGGCUUGCAAUUAUUCCCCGUGAACCAGGAAUGCCCAGUAAGUGCAAGUCAUAAGCUUGCGUUGAUUACGUCCCUGCCCUUUGUACACACCGCCCGUCGCUACUACCGAUUGAACGUUUUAGUGAGGUACUCGGACUGAGCCUCAGAAGAUUCACGUCUUUUGUGCUGCUCGGGAAGAUUCCCAAACUUGAGCGUUUAGAGGAAGUAAAAGUCGUAACA